This 406-nucleotide ribosomal RNA is filed under the name uncultured bacterium. RNAcentral describes it as "partial 16S ribosomal RNA". It matches the Rfam family "Bacterial small subunit ribosomal RNA", at positions 29 to 526 of the family's 1533-position model. The record is from RNAcentral.
AUUGAACGCUGGCGGCAGGCCUAACACAUGCAAGUCGAACGAGUGGCGGACGGGUGAGUAAUGUCUGGGAAACUGCCUGAUGGAGGGGGAUAACUACUGGAAACGGUAGCUAAUACCGCAUACCAUCAGAUGUGCCCAGGUGGGAUUAGCUGGUGGGGGGGGUAACGGCUAACCAGGGCGACGAGCACUAGCUGGUCUGAGAGGAUGACCAGCCACAUUGGAACGGAGACACGGUCCAGACUCCUACGGGGGGAAGAAGUGGGGAAUAUUGCACAAUGGGCGCAAGCCGGAUGCAGCCAUGCCGCGUGUAUGAAGAAGGCCUUCGGGUUGUAAAGUACUUUCAGCGGGGAGGCGUUACCCGCAGAAGAAGCACCGGCUAACUCCGUGCCAGCAGCCGCGGUAAUAC